GCUUCGAUAGUGGGUUCGGAGUCGUACGCAGGCGCAAACCGAGCAGGCAUCUCCAAGCUUCUAGGGGUAGUUUCGAUCGUCCGGGGGAUGCCUCCCGAGACGCCUCUACCCUCGUGCGUGAUCUCGCGAUGCUGCCUAUACCGAGAUAUCGCAUCGUUAUCGUGACAGUGACACGUCUGCGGAACGCGUGGUGCCAAUCACACGCGAUUGCAUAAUUCAAGGAUCGUCGAUCGAGAGACGCCAGGCCUCGAUAUUCGGAAGAGAAGGAGAUCUUUGUGGUCCAGAGAGAGGAUUCUGCGAUCACGCAUCGCCGUCGGUAAAGAAAGAUGCACCGACUGCGCGGAGAUGAAAUCAGCUGCUGGCUCUGUCAAGGACAAGAUCUGAAGGAUCCGAAAUCGACCAUGCGGAAUUUGACUGACGAUUGUCAGUGACGAUCAUCCUGGCAUCCUCGCCGUCAUCGUCUCUCAUCGGGAAGCAAUAUACAUCAAGCAAUACAGGCGCGUGAAUCGCGUCUGGCACGUCGCGACCAUAUCUACUUCAGCGUUUUAUCGUCGAUUCUGUUAUAAUUACUACAGAAAAAUGAAAAUGAUGCAAAGGAAAAGUGCAUUGGUGUUCUCUGAGACAUUUUCGGUCGCCGAAUCUGAUCGCGAGUGCGACGAACAGAUCGGAUCUAGACGUGCGAGAUCGAUGAUCUAAAAAAAUCCUGAGAUCGAAGAUCGAGGACCGAAGAUUGAUAUGGUCAAUCAAGAUCAUGCAUUGUGCGAGUUAUCUCAGUCAACGUAGUAAAAUCUAAAUGACUAGUUAGCAGGAUUCGAAAUCAAUGUAUAAUUUCCACGAGUUUAAAUCUCGAUAUUAUUCAUAUGCAAAAAUAAUCGCUAUAUUUCUUCACGACGCGAGCAAAUCAACAUACAUUUUUUUUACACCACGAAUCUGGUUUUUUUUUCAUCAACAUCUUGAACUUGUAGAAAUUUUAUGACAAUUUCUAUCUCUGGUUCUAUAAAAGUUCGUUGACCUUUGGAUGAUACAAUAUUCAAGAAUAUAAUUAGCCGGUAUGAUUUAACGUGAAAGAAACACGGUUUUGCAAUAAAAUUACCUGGCGAGAAUGUAGUUUUCUAAAUACUUUCUCGAUAGAAUCGAAUAUACGCACAAUAAACAUUCGAAUUCUCCUAACAUUCUAAAAUUUAUUAUGAACAUUUAUAUCAAAAUGCAAUAGAAUUGUUCAAUUAUGUUAACAAAGACAGUGAUACACACAUACAUACGUGAGACAUGCAACGAGUUACAUAAUCUAUCUGUAGAAUAUUACAGAUGUCUCUUGGGGAUGUUGUGAAUUGAGAGGAUAUGAAGCGAGACAAAACGCGAACUCGGAAUAUUUAUUCGGGAUAAAGCAAUACCCAAUGGACAAUCAAAACCUUUUGUUCGCGGAGUGCAGUCAACGAGAUUGUAAACAACAUUGACACUUAAAUUAUAUAUAUUCUAGAGUUAAAAUAUACACAGUGAGAUCAUUUUUAAUAAGAAAAAUAAUCCACGUGGGUAUUUUUUUAAUUAUACAUAUUUAUAAUAUAUCAAAAAAGGAUAAAGUAAAGAAAUUAUAAAAGAGGAAAAAAUUUUAAAAAACACAAUAGUGUGUGGAAGACACUGUUAACGCAAUCGACGAGAUUGAAUUCACUUUAAUCAUUAGAAGUCUCAAACAACGAAAUCGUAUCAAAGUUAAUCACGACACGAAGAAACUUGUGAGAAUUUUUUUGCGAAUCAGCGAUAACCAUAGGUACAAAAACUGCGAGCGGCUGGAGGAGGCGAAGCCUCCCGCCGCACAAACACUAUCAGCUGGACCUCGAUUAUUUGGAAAGAAGAGGCGGAAAUACAAUAACCUACGAAGGUGCCGAAGGCAGCUCGAAAGAGGAGGAUAGUCCCGCGGAUACAUUAGAUCGCGUUAAAGUUGUCUUCCUGGGUGCACCCGGCGUGGGAAAAACAAGUAUAAUCCGAGUAAAGUCCUUUCAUAACAUGAUCGUAUCAAUUACCUUUGUGCAUUUCGCGUGAAAAUAUUUUUUAUCCUGUCUUUGAAUUAAUUUCUCGGAUAUUAAACGCGCAGUUAGUUAUGCGAUCGAAUUAUGUCAUCGAAUUUCUACAAAUUUAAUAAAUAUAUUCGUCUUAAUUUAAAAUAAGAAUUAUUUAACUUAACAAAAUUUAAAAAUCUAAUAUUUUUAUAAAUACAUUACAAUAGUUGUUUAUUUUUUUAUAAAUUACUUUCUAUUAAUUUGGCAAAGAGAAUGCAAAAACGCACCAAUAAAUAUAACUUUGCAAAUAUUCUAUAUGAAACACAAUCUAUAUACGCGUAUCUCGUAUAUAAUUGAUAAAGAAGUGUCAGAAUCUUUGUUUCAAAGCUAGGAAGGGAACAAAUCGCGGAAACGAGUCGCUCGGGCGCUCGAUUCAUUUCCGAUAGCAGUUUCCGCUUAUCGAAGGCGACGAUUAUCGAGUCGCAAGGAAAUUAAAAGGCACAACGAAUUUCCUAAGGAACGCCGUUCGCUUCUGACGAAAAAAUGUGUCAAAAUGUGAUUUAAAAAUGUGUCUUUUCUUUAGCGGCCAAUACAUACAAAUUUAAAUUUUCAAAACUAAUUUUUCGCUAAAUUUUUGUAAUUUUACUAUAUAGCUCUACGCUU
Formica exsecta is the source of this 2657-nucleotide RNA transcript. It is a transcript of the gene named ras-like protein family member 10B, with no coding region annotated. The record is from RefSeq and is a predicted model, not a curated record. The transcript has 2 exons. NCBI's taxonomy places the organism in Eukaryota, Metazoa, Arthropoda, Insecta, Hymenoptera, Formicidae.